GGGGGGAGUGUAGGAUCCUGGGCUGUUUUCCCCAGUGCCCUGGGAUCUGGGACCUGUGCUGUUUGAAUCGUGCUCCUGGGGCUGCUCAGCCCCCU
This 95-nucleotide microRNA precursor is filed under the name Canis lupus familiaris (dog). RNAcentral describes it as "mir-8799 microRNA precursor family". It matches the Rfam family "mir-8799 microRNA precursor family". The record is from Rfam by way of RNAcentral. Lineage: Eukaryota; Metazoa; Chordata; Mammalia; Carnivora; Canidae.